Molecule: ribosomal RNA, 381 nt
Filed under: uncultured bacterium
Lineage: Bacteria
Description: bacterial SSU rRNA
Rfam family: Bacterial small subunit ribosomal RNA
Source: RNAcentral
AUUGAACGCUGGCGGCAUGCCUUACACAUGCAAGUCGAACGGUAGAGUAGCAAUACUUGAGAGUGGCGAGCGGGUGAGUAAUAUAUCGGAACGUGCCCAGUCGUGGGGGAUAACGUAGCGAAAGCUACGCUAAUACCGCAUACGAUCUAUGGAUGAAAGCGGGGAAUCGCAAGACCUCGCGCGAUUGGAGCGGCCGAUAUCAGAUUAGGUAGUUGGUGAGGUAAAGGCUCACCAAGCCGACGAUCUGUAGCUGGUCUGAGAGGACGACCAGCCACACUGGGACUGAGACACGGCCCAGACUCCUACGGGAGGCAGCAGUGGGGAAUUUUGGACAAUGGGCGCAAGCCUGAUCCAGCAAUGCCGCGUGCAGGAUGAAGGCCU